CGAACCACCUAACGAGGAACGAUCGGAGGGCAAGUCUGGUGCCAGCAGCCGCGGUAAUUCCAGCUCCAAUAGCGUACGUUAAAGUUGCUGCAGUUAAAAAGCUCGUAGUUGAACGUUCGGGUUCCGCGGGACGGGGCCGCCCCGCGAGGGACGGCGCCGCCCCGGGGCUCGUGAUAUCUCAUCUCGCCGCCCGUCGCGAGGCGGACGGAGGGAUGGAUGAGGUUACCUGGAAAAAAUCGGGGCGAUCUAGGCGGGCGAACCUCGCCAACGAACGAUCGGACAUGGGAUAACGGAAGAGGGCGUCGGCUCGACUUCGUCGGUUCCUCGGGCCGAGGCACGUACGGUGAAUAGGGACGGUCGGGGCCGCCCGUACCGGGUCGUGAGAGGUGAAAUUCUAGGAUCGACCCGAGACGAACCGCCGC
This 422-nucleotide ribosomal RNA is filed under the name uncultured eukaryote. RNAcentral describes it as "bacterial SSU rRNA". It matches the Rfam family "Eukaryotic small subunit ribosomal RNA", at positions 526 to 946 of the family's 1831-position model. The record is from RNAcentral.